UUUUUUUCCUUUUUUUUUUAGGUUAAAGUAUAGUUGAUUUACAAUGUUGUGCCAAUUUCUGCUGUACAGCAAAGCGACCCAGUCAUACAUAUAUACAUUCUUUUCUUAUAUUCUCUUCCAUCAUAGUCUGUCUCAAGAGAUUCGAUAUAGUUCCCUGUGCUGUACAGUAGGACCUCAUUGCCCAUCCAUUCUAAAUGCAGUUGUUUGCAUCUAAUAACCCCAAGCUCCCAGUCUCUCCCACUCCCUCCCCCUUGGCAACCACAAAAGUGUUCUAAGGCUGUGAGUCUGCUUCUGUUUUGUCAAUAGGUUCAUUUGUGCCAUAUUUUAGAUUCCACAUCUAAGUGAUAUCAUAUGGUAUUUGUCUUUUUCUUUCUGACUUACUUCACUUAGUAUGAGAAUCUCAGGUUCCAUCCAUGUUGCUGCCAAUGGCAUUAUUUUGUUCGUUUUUAUAGCCGAGUAGUAGUCCAUUGUAUAUAUGUACCACUUCUUCUCCAUUUGCUGGGAUCUUGUAUGGAGCAGGGCAUGUGUUCUUAUUUCUCCUGGUAGUGGUUGUAUUAAGUUCAGAUGUGGUAGCAAAGGUGGCAUGUCCCAGAGCUUGGUUAGGCAUUUGUGAAGUGAUUUAUUCACUAAUAUUUCCUGCCCACCUGGGAGGAGCUGGGUCCUAGAAAAAAAGGAGAGGCCUUGGGGUGAGAAAGGCAGGCACGAAAACACAUGGUAUUACAGUGUCAUCAGUACGCCGUGUGAAGCGACCUGUGUAGGCACUCUGUUCCAGGGGGUGCUAAAGACCAGCUGUGCUCUAGUGUCAGGGUGACCAUCCUUUACCAGGGAUGUGGGCAGGCUGGUCCACUUGGGAACCUGAGUCGGAGGGCCCUCAGGGAGCCACUGGCCGAGUGGGAAGGACCCCGCCCCAUAGUUCUUCAUCUCAGUCUUGUUCCCCACUCGCCUCUGCUUUUCUCCUUGUCUUCCUCCUGUCCUCAGCUUCCAGUAACACCCAGUCUAACCACUGGGCAAUCAAAGAGGGAAGGAGGUGGGAGUUCCCUGGUCCUAGCAUUGUCACUGCUGUGGUGCAGGUUUGAUCCUUGCCCCCAGAACUUCUGCAUGCCGCAGGUGGCAUUAAAAAAAAAAAAAAAAAGGAAUGAGGUGUUGACAGUUGGCUGUUUCUCAAGGAGGAAGAGUUGUAAUCAUGUUUAUUGUCAUUGCAGCAGGCAUGCUCUGCCUCUCCCUGUGGAGGCUGGGGUCAGGAAGGCCACUGGAUCGCCCCUCUUCAGACUCAGCCAGGAGGAAGAGGGUUCCUCAUAGUCACUCUCCCUCCUCUCCUGAGCUCUGAUGGGUCCCUGGGGCCAAAGCGUCCCCGGGGGGCCAACUUGCCCCUGAGGCAGACUGGCCACGCAGGCUUUCAACUGGGCUGGACUGGUCCUCGCUCACUUUGAGCCACUGCUCACCUUUCCUGGAGACAUUUACCUUCUGUACCUCUAACACCCUGUUUGCCAGAAUGACCCUCAUUCCUCUCAGCUCAAUUGCCAUCAGGGCAACUUUGUCAUGACUUCUGGGCGUCAUGUUGCUGGAACUCGUUCUCUGCUCACAGUGCCGAAUAGAAACUCAGAGAUAGUUUUGGGUAAAGGAGAAAAACCAUAGCUUUAUUGCUUUGCCAGGCAAAGGAGGGUGACAGUAGGCUAAUGCCUUAAAGACUGUGCCCCCCCCCCACCCCUUAGGAGAGAAGGGAGGUGAUUUUAUAGUUUGGGGAGUGAAAAAUAAGGCUGCAGAUAAGGAUCAGGGUAGAGGCAAGCUUGCAUUGUUUUCAAAGCUGGUGUUCAGUGGUCUGGUGGUCUUCUUUCCAGAAUAAAGAAGGCUUCAUUAACAUCUUCCAUUUGUUGGGGGUUUUAGUUUUGCAGAAGAACUCAAAGAUAUUGUUAUCUCUGUUCCUUGAGGAGGGACCAGGACCCUUCUCCAAAGCUGCACUGUUGUCUCUGGAUCGCUGCUCUCUGGUCUCUGCAUCCCCUCCCUUCCCUGAUUAGCAACCAUUUGAACCUGACCUUGGGAACCCAGGAAAGGUCAUGGAGGCUGAAGUUUAUUCCCUAAAAACAAGAAAUGGGGAACACAGAAAGGCUUGUGUGCCCAGGAGCCCACAGGGCCCUGCUUGGUUUCAGUAGCAGUCACUGGACCUCUGUCCUGAGCCAUGCUGGGGCACAGGGAAGCUCUGAGACCCUAAAACUAGAGACGCUGGGUGACCUUUUCUUUCCUGGGGUCUUGAGGCAGCUGCACCCAGGCAAUGCUCACCAGGACGCUCUGCUGCACACGUCUCUGGACUCCUGAGACCGAAACAGGAGCAAGGAGGAGGGUGCAGGGCUCCUUCUCUGGGACUUGGUGAUGUCUCCACUUUUAUCAGUUUCCCCGUGUCCCUGCCCAUCAGCUCAGAAAGCAAAGUAUUUUUAGUUGGGCUUGGAUUGGGGGAAGUGGUGGAGGGUGCAGGCGGAGGAGGGAAUCUUGCUCCGAGUCCCGAUGUUUUCUCCCAAAUCCUUUGCUUAAGUUUUGAGUCUAUUCCAUUCCCUAAAGGAAAAUCAAAUAGCUAGCUUUUUGAAUCAAACGCCAGGAAGAGACACCCCCCACCAUUUUGCAGUCUCAUCUUUUCCCAGGCAAGAAACAGAGAAGCCUGGUGGCUGCUUGAAGGGGGGUGGGAGUGGGUAAAAGGGUGGUGAACAGGACCUGGGGAGGGGGAGGAGCCAUCACCGGGGAGGAACCCAUCACCGGAGAGGGCAAAAAUCCUAACCUGCCACGGUACACUGAGUCUUCCGUUUGCUCAAGGAUGUAUAAUGAGAUACUGCUGAAUUUUUUUUUUUUUUUCAGUUUUCUUUUAGCUUGUAGGCCACCCCACUGCCAAAGGCUGCCUCUUUCUUCCUUUGGCCCUCUUUCUCCCCCAGAGGCUAUGCCUGCGGAUCCUGCCAAGCUCCCAGCUCCCAGCAGAGCCUCACGGCGCUGAAGCAGAAAUGUGAAAGAUUGCUCACUGGGAAUUUCUUUUUUACUUGCGGUGAUUUUGAAGUUGAGGCGUACUUGGUUUCCAGCCAUACUGAGGGUGUGUUUUGGGUAUAGCUUUACUUUUUCUUCUUGGUCUCUGUUGUUUCUGGAGGAAAUCUGGGGGCACAGGCAUGGGUAGCCACCAUUGCCUCCAUAAAAGGAGACAGUGAAUAAUAAAAAUGGAAGGGAGAGGGAUCUUCUGGAAGGCGGGUGACAAAGGGGAUAAGAAACAGAAAGGACCGUUUGAGAUCUCACAAGACAGUAGGUUAUCAACACAAGUUUCCUUGCAUGGAAUCUGCCAGACAGAGCUGGGGUAAUUCUGCCUCUGCUUUCCACCGGCUGUGUGAGUCCUUGGACAAGUCAUUUGCCUUUCUAAUCCUCUGUAUUUUCCUCUAUAGUAUAAAAAAGAUAACGACGCCCUACUUCUGAGUGCCGUGAAGAGGAUGAAAUGGGAAGAGGCACGUAAAGUGCUUAGUACAUGGCUUGGGGAGCACCAAGCACUUCAUAACAUUCGCUAUUAUUGCCAUUCCUCCCACUAUUACUAUUAGUCAUUCGCUAUCUCAAAGAAACCCAUCCUUGACAAGCAUAGGCUCUGAUAAGAGUGGUUUAAGGAGACUCGUAUGUCAACAUUAAACAUGUUCUCUUAAUUCUCUUAGGGAGCAGAAGAAACAAGUUUCCAGUUUGAGUGUCUGAUCCUGAUUAAGUUCCUAGUCCAUUGCCGUGCAUCUAGUAAGUAGGUCCUGUGAACUGAAGUGUGGCACUUGGCAUCAGCCUCUACGUGGAUUAUAUCAUGAGCCCUUGCAGCUGCCAACCCACAGCAGCCCCUAAGCAGAGCUCAGGUGAACAUCAGGAGGGAGGCCCUCUGGGCUCGGGGAAAACUGGAAGAACAGGUCUAAAGCUAGUCAGAUAUUUUCAGAAGAUUUUAGGUGCACCUCCUCGGAUCUAGAAAAAGACUGAAAUCCUUCUUGGUGAGGUCUGCUCCUUGUGACUAGCAGUAACCUUCAGGAGACCAGCAGCAAACUUUCGUAAAAUGUGUGUGUGUGUGUGGCCACAGGCACCUCCCCUUCACCUUUAACAGAUACCCUGGUAUCCUUGACCCCCUGCCUCUUUGGCCAGGUUGCAGUUGACAAAACAAAGGAUGUCACAGUCAUCUGAGAAAGCAGUCAUCUCCAAGGGUGAGCCGUAAGCCCCGAGCCCUGAGGGCUGCGAAAACUCAGGAUACUGGCCUGGUAGCUGAGGUGCCUAUCAAAGGAAUGAUUUCAGCAAGCCCAGGCCUCUUUUGUUCCUGAUACGGGCCCUUUCUUGCCAAAACUCCUGUAUAGCCCAGCUCCCGCUUCACCUCCUCCGAGCGGUUUCUCAGGGCUACCCGAGAGGCUGUCUCGUAGGCUUAAGUCCUAAUUUUGCCCCAAAUAAAACUUCGCUUUCAGGUUGUGCAUUUUUGAAGUCAGCGGUGCUUGAUAGAUAUUUGUUCGAUGAAUGAUAGUCCAUAGUUUCUUUCAAUUAUAAUCCAGAAAUCAUGGGGCUCUGUUUUAAAUCCUUCUCUCUCACAUGCACAGAGAUGUGCACACACACCAUCCCCAUUUUAAAAAAUAAUUCAAUAUGGCUUUAAGCAGACAUAGACUAUGUAUUAGUUUUCUAUUGCCGUGUGACAAUAUCAGACUUUAUCACUUCAAGCAGCACACAUUUCUCUCUCGCUUUCUGUAGGUCAGGCGUCCCACAGCUUAGCUGGGUCCUCUGCUCUGGGUCCACAAGGUCACGAUCAAGGCUGAACACAGAGUCAGGCUGGCUGUGUUCUUCCCUGAAGAUGGAGAUCCUCUUCAAAGUGAAUUUAGGCAGAAUUCUGGUCCUUGUGGUUGCAGGAUGGAGGCCCUCAGCUCUCAAAGGCUGCCCCUCUCCACGGGCAGCUCACAACAUGGCUAUUGGCUUCUUCAAGGCCAGCAGAAGAAUGUCUCUCUAACCUCAAGAAGGAUCUAGUUAGUCCCACUUUAAGGGCUCAUCUGAUUAAGCGAGGCCCACCCAGGAUAAUCUCUGUUUUUGUUCACUGCAUCUCAGAGAUGCCGCACGAUCCUUCCACCUUUGCUUAGUAACCUAACCGAAUCCUGGAGUAGCAUCCCGUUGUAUUCCGUCUCACCCACAUCUGAAGGGAGGGGGUUAUAUGAGAUGUAGGGGAUUGUGGGGGGAGUGUGGGGCGUGGGGAUCUUAGGGGCUCUCUUAGAAUUCAGUCUAUCACAGGAUGUCUCUUUCAGCCCAGUAAAUAGCAUUACAAGUAGAAACUCCAAGAUGUGCAUCUACAUUCGAGUUGAUAUAAACUCAGAGAAAGUGGGGACCUUGCUGAGGGCAAUCCCGGACUACGGCACCAAAAGACAACAAUGAUAGUUUCUAUAUGCCAGGUGCUCUCCAAUACUUGAACAGCCCUGAUUCUACUUCUCGCUAAGGCAUUUUACGGAGGAAGCUGGGAAAUGAACCGCUGCCUUCUGACUCUGGGGCCUGCUCUAACUCCCGUCCUAAAUUGAAUUUAGAAAAAUAUGCACUGACAAACGCACGCAUGAUAAAUGACUUAAAAUGACGCUCAUGAUGGCAAAUUUUCUGCCGGUUCUCCAGGUCUCCCUCCCUCUCUGUCUCCCUCGCAUUCUCUGACAUUACAUGCUUGGUUACUCAAGGCCACUGUUACAGGAUGUUAAGUAAACAGUAGCCCCGUCCCUUCUUUCUCUCUUUUUUUUCCCCCCAAGAUGAGAAAAUGGAACAGAACAUUAGGAAAGGAAGCUGCAGUGCAGAGACUAUGUUGGCACCUGCCCCCCUUCCCCCACUCCAGUGGUGGCCAAGGCUGCUCCUGCUGGAGGGGACCCUCGGUGCCGCCGCUUUAACCUCGAGCGUCUCGGCCUCGCCCUGGGCUCCUCCCUGGGCGCCAGCACGUCCCUGCCUCCUGCGUGUCCAGAAUAGGUACCGCGAUCAACGCUCACUGUAGAGCCUGUCCCUGGUCCCUGUGGAAGGGGCUUUGAGACACAGAAGACCGGGAGGUCAGUCACACAGGGCAUGUCACUGCCAACCUCCCCUUUCCAUGUCUGUCUCCCCUCCAACCAAAGCGCAGCUUCUGACCUCCCCCAACCUCUCGUGCCCCACCUAAAUCCGCUUUUCUGCUUUGCAGAGGAAAACUAGCAUUGUGCCUGCUCACCAGGGUCCCAAAGUCCUGGUUCACUUAUCCUAGCUGGGCAGGUACCAUUUCUGAGUUCCGAGGCCUGGGGAAUUUACAGACAUACAUAUGGUGUUUGCAUAUUAAUCCAAUAAAAUCUUUUUUUUUUUUUUGCUCCUGUC
This 6324-nucleotide long non-coding RNA is filed under the name Sus scrofa (pig). RNAcentral describes it as "lncRNA (ENSSSCG00040017393.1)". Lineage: Eukaryota; Metazoa; Chordata; Mammalia; Artiodactyla; Suidae. The record is from RNAcentral.